CCUACGGGAGGCAGCAGUGGGGAAUAUUGCGCAAUGGGCGAAAGCCUGACGCAGCGACGCCGCGUGAGGGAUGAAGGUCUUCGGAUCUUAAACCUCUGUCAGCAGGGAAGAACGGUCACUGUGCUAAUCAGCAGUGAAUUUACGGUACCUGCAAAGGACGCACCGGAGAAGUCCGUGCCAGCAGCCGCGGUAAUACGUAGGGGGCAGGCGUUAUCCGGAUUUACUGGGUGUAAAGGGAGCGUAGGCGGUUUAUCAAGUCAGAAGUGAAAGGCCGGGGCUCAACUCCGGGACUGCGUUUGAAACUGGUGAACUAGAUUGCAGGAGAGGUAAGUGGAAUGCCUGGUGUAGCGGUGAAAUGCGUAGAUAUUAGGAGGAACACCGGUGGCGAAGGCGGCUUACUGGACUGUAAAUGACGCUGAGGCUCGAAGGCGUGGGGAGCAAACAGGAUUAGAUACCCUGGUAGUC
This 465-nucleotide ribosomal RNA is filed under the name uncultured bacterium. RNAcentral describes it as "partial 16S ribosomal RNA". It matches the Rfam family "Bacterial small subunit ribosomal RNA", at positions 338 to 795 of the family's 1533-position model. The record is from RNAcentral.